GAUGAACGCUGGCGGCGUGCCUAAUACAUGCAAGUCGAGCGAACAGACGAGGAGCUUGCUCCUCUGACGUUAGCGGCGGACGGGUGAGUAACACGUGGAUAACCUACCUAUAAGACUGGGAUAACUUCGGGAAACCGGAGCUAAUACCGGAUAAUAUAUUGAACCGCAUGGUUCAAUAGUGAAAGACGGUUUUGCUGUCACUUAUAGAUGGAUCCGCGCCGCAUUAGCUAGUUGGUAAGGUAACGGCUUACCAAGGCAACGAUGCGUAGCCGACCUGAGAGGGUGAUCGGCCACACUGGAACUGAGACACGGUCCAGACUCCUACGGGAGGCAGCAGUAGGGAAUCUUCCGCAAUGGGCGAAAGCCUGACGGAGCAACGCCGCGUGAGUGAUGAAGGUCUUCGGCUCGUAAAACUCUGUUAUUAGGGAAGAACAAAUGUGUAAGUAACUAUGCACGUCUUGACGGUACCUAAUCAGAAAGCCACGGCUAACUACGU
RNAcentral lists this ribosomal RNA (496 nucleotides) under uncultured bacterium. Its description in RNAcentral is "partial 16S ribosomal RNA". It matches the Rfam family "Bacterial small subunit ribosomal RNA", at positions 28 to 506 of the family's 1533-position model. The record is from RNAcentral.